Molecule: ribosomal RNA, 414 nt
Filed under: Triticum aestivum (bread wheat)
Lineage: Eukaryota; Viridiplantae; Streptophyta; Magnoliopsida; Poales; Poaceae
Description: partial small subunit ribosomal RNA
Source: RNAcentral
CAAGCUUUACUAUCCCGAAAAGCUUGGAUAUUAAUUACCAACUCGGAUAGUUUGUGUGCCCAAGUGCUCAAAGCAAGAUAUUAUCCUAAUGGAAGACUAGAAGAUACAAUUUUUGCGGGUAAUGUGUCGUCCUCAUGGCAAGCUAUAAGCUAUGGUAUGGAAUUACUAAAAAAGGGUUUGGUAUGGAGAGUUGGUAAUGGAAAAAGUAUACUGAUCUGGAGAGAUAGUCGGAUUCCGAGGCCUCACUCAUAUAAACCCUUCUCCCCACAAGGUAUAUGUAGGAUUAGAUUUGUCUCAGGAUUAUUGAACGAGAAUGGGAAUUGGAAUUACGCAUUGUUGAUGAAGUUUUUUGCUAUGGACGAUGUAUCAGAGAUUAUGAAAACCAAGGAUUCACCAAGUUUAGAGGAUGUGUAA